UCACAAUGAACGCUGGCGGCGUGCUUACACAUGCAAGUCGAACGAGAAAUCUUUAGCUUGCUAGAGAAAGUAAAGUGGCGCACGGGUGAGUAACGCGUGGGUAAUCUGCCUCCGAAUCGGGGAUAACAUUGCGAAAGCGAUGCUAAUACCGGAUAAAAUCUGGUUGGCUUAGGUGAACCGGAUCAAAGGUGGUCUCUUUAUAAAAGCUACCGUUUGGAGAUGAGCUCGCGUACCAUUAGCUAGUUGGUGAGGUAAAGGCUCACCAAGGCGACGAUGGUUAGCUGGUCUGAGAGGAUGAUCAGCCACACCGGAACUGGAACACGGUCCGGACUCCUACGGGAGGCAGCAGUGAGGAAUUUUGCGCAAUGGGGGAAACCCUGACGCAGCAACGCCGCGUGAGUGAUGAAGGCUUUCGGGUCGUAAAGCUCUGUCAGGUGGGAAGAACCCACCAAGUGUUAAGACCACUUGGUGCUGACGGUACCACCGAAGGAAGCACCGGCUAACUCCGUGCCAGCAGCCGCGGUAAUACGGGGGGUGCGAGCGUUAUUCGGAAUCAUUGGGCGUAAAGGGCGCGCAGGCGGUUUUGUAAGUCAGAUGUGAAAUCCCGGGGCUUAACCCCGGAAGUGCAUAUGAAACUAUGAGACUUGAGUAUGGGAGAGGGAAGCGGAAUUCCUGGUGUAGCGGUGAAAUGCGUAGAUAUCAGGAGGAACACCGGUGGCGAAGGCGGCUUCCUGGACCAAUACUGACGCUGAGGCGCGAAGGCGUGGGGAGCGAACAGGAUUAGAUACCCUGGUAGCCCACGCAGUAAACGUUGAUCACUAGGUGUAGCGGGUAUUGACCCCUGACUGUGCCGGAGUUAACGCAUUAAGUGAUCCGCCUGGGGAGUACGAUCGCGAUAUUAAAACUCAAAGGAA
This 914-nucleotide ribosomal RNA is filed under the name uncultured organism. RNAcentral's name for it is "bacterial SSU rRNA". It matches the Rfam family "Bacterial small subunit ribosomal RNA", at positions 24 to 909 of the family's 1533-position model. The record is from RNAcentral.